This 359-nucleotide transfer RNA is filed under the name uncultured Microcystis sp. Its description in RNAcentral is "partial 16S-23S ribosomal RNA intergenic spacer". The stretch from base 134 to 207 matches the Rfam family "tRNA". The record is from RNAcentral. Lineage: Bacteria; Bacillati; Cyanobacteriota; Cyanophyceae; Chroococcales; Microcystaceae.
AAAGGGAGACCUAAUUCGGGUAUAAGACGAAAAAAUAGUAGUCGAAACCAAGAAUCAAACCCAAAAGGUCGGAACGAGGUAUGUGGCUUUCAAACUAGGUUCUGGGUUCAUAAAAGACCUGAAUCAGGAACAAGGGCUAUUAGCUCAGGUGGUUAGAGCGCACCCCUGAUAAGGGUGAGGUCCCUGGUUCGAGUCCAGGAUGGCCCACCUGCACAGGUGGCAAAAACAAGAGAAGCGAGGAAUCAGCACCUUAUCCUAAUUUAUAUAUAGGAGAGAAUGCUGGCUCUGAGUAAAGAGUCCAGAGGAACCUUGAAAACUGCAUAGAGCUAGGUGAAAAAGCCAAAAAAGAAGACCGCAAG